UCCUACGGGAGGCAGCAGUGGGGAAUAUUGCACAAUGGGCGAAAGCCUGAUGCAGCGACGCCGCGUGAGGGAUGAAGGCCUUCGGGUCGUAAACCUCUUUCGGCAGGGACGAAGCGAUCAGUGACGGUACCUGCAGAAGAAGCCCCGGCUAACUACGUGCCAGCAGCCGCGGUAAGACGUAGGGGGCGAGCGUUGUCCGGAUUUAUUGGGCGUAAAGCGUGCGUAGGCGGCUGCGCAAGUCGGGUGUGAAACCCCGGGGCUCAACCCCGGAACUGCAUCCGAUACUGCGUGGCUAGAGGUAGGUAGGGGAGAUCGGAAUUCCUGGUGUAGCGGUGAAAUGCGCAGAUAUCAGGAGGAACACCGGUGGCGAAGGCGGAUCUCUGGGCCUUACCUGACGCUCAGGCACGAAAGCUAGGGGAGCGAACAGGAUUAGAUACCCUGGUAGUCCUAGCCGUAAACGUUGGGUGCUAGGUGUGGGCGGAUAUCGACCCCGUCCGUGCCGAAGCUAACGCAUUAAGCACCCCGCCUGGGGAGUACGGCCGCAAGGCUAAAACUCAAAGGAAUUGACGGGGGCCCGCACAAGCGGCGGAGCAUGUGGCUUAAUUCGAAGCAACGCGAAGAACCUUACCUGGGCUUGACAUGCGGGGUGAAACCGUAGAAAUACGGCGCUCCUCGGAGCCCGCACAGGUGGUGCAUGGCUGUCGUCAGCUCGUGCCGUGAGGUGUUGCCUUAAGUGGCGCAACGAGCGCAACCCCUGUCCUUAGUUGCCAGCGGGUAAUGCCGGGAACUCUAGGGAGACUGCCGGUGCCAAACCGGAGGAAGGUGGGGAUGACGUCAAGUCAUCAUGCCCCUUAUGUCCAGGGCUGCACACAUGCUACAAUGCGCGAUACAGAGGGUUGCGAUCCCGCAAGGGGGAGCGAAUCCCAAAAAGUCGCGCUCAGUUCGGAUCGGGGUCUGCAACUCGACCCCGUGAAGUCGGAGUCGCUAGUAAUCGCCGAUCAGCACUGC
Molecule: ribosomal RNA, 1008 nt
Filed under: uncultured Actinomycetes bacterium
Lineage: Bacteria; Bacillati; Actinomycetota; Actinomycetes
Description: bacterial SSU rRNA
Rfam family: Bacterial small subunit ribosomal RNA
Source: RNAcentral